UGGGGAUGCUUUACACACGCAGGUUUAGCGGCAGCGCGGGGGCAACCUGGCGGCGAGCUGGCGAACGGGUGAGUAAUACAUCGGAACGUGUCCCGUAGUGGGGGAUAGCCCGGCGAAAGCCGGAUUAAUACCGCAUAUGCUCUACGGAGGAAAGUGGGGGACUCGCAAGGGCCUCACGCUAUGGGAGCGGCCGAUGUCCGAUUAGCUUGUUGGCGGGGUAAUGGCCCACCAAGGCGACGAUCGGUAGCUGGUCUGAGAGGAUGAUCAGCCACACUGGGACUGAGACACGGCCCAGACUCCUACGGGAGGCAGCAGUGGGGAAUUUUGGACAAUGGGGGAAACCCUGAUCCAGCCAUGCCGCGUGCGGGAAGAAGGCCUUCGGGUUGUAAACCGUUUUGGUCGGAAAGAAAAGGCGCCACCUAAUACGGGGCGCUCUUGACGGUACCGGCAGAAUAAGCACCGGCUAACUACGUGCCAGCAGCCGCGGUAAUACGUAGGGUGCGAGCGUUAAUCGGAAUUACUGGGCGUAAAGGGUGCGCAGGCGGUUCCGCAAGUCAGGCGUGAAAUCCCCGGGCUUAACCUGGGAAUGGCGCUUGAAACUACGGGACUAGAGUAUGGCAGAGGGAGGUGGGAUUCCACGUUGUAGCGGUGAAUGCGUAGAGAUGUGGAGGGAACACCGAUGGCGAAGGCAGCCUUCCUGGGCCA
This 705-nucleotide ribosomal RNA is filed under the name uncultured bacterium. RNAcentral describes it as "bacterial SSU rRNA". It matches the Rfam family "Bacterial small subunit ribosomal RNA", at positions 37 to 736 of the family's 1533-position model. The record is from RNAcentral.